This 510-nucleotide ribosomal RNA is filed under the name uncultured bacterium. RNAcentral describes it as "bacterial SSU rRNA". It matches the Rfam family "Bacterial small subunit ribosomal RNA", at positions 8 to 518 of the family's 1533-position model. The record is from RNAcentral.
AGAGUUUGAUCAUGGCUCAGGAUGAACGCUGGCGGCGUGCCUAAUACAUGCAAGUGAAACGGGUAUCUUCGGAUACCAGUCGCGGACGGGUGAGUAAUACAUAGGCAACCUGCCUUUAUGAGGGGGAUAACCGAGGGAAACUUUGGCUAAUACCGCAUGAAGACUCUAAGGCAUCUUAGAGGAUAAAGUUGGGAAACAACGCAUGAAGAUGGGCUUAUGGCGCAUUAGCUAGUUGGUGAGAUAGAAGCCCACCAAGGUAAUGAUGCGUAGCCGACCUGAGAGGGUGAACGGCCACAUUGGGACUGAGACACGGCCCAAACUCCUACGGGAGGCAGCAGUAGGGAAUUUUCGGCAAUGGGGGGAACCCUGACCGAGCAACGCCCGCGUGAAGGAAGAAGGUUUUCGGAUUGUAAACUUCUGUUAUAAGGGAAGAACGGAUUGGAUAGGGAAUGAUCUGAUAGUGACGGUACCUUAUUAGAAAGCCACGGCUAACUACGUGCCAGCCGCCGC